GAAAUGCGAUUAGUAAUGUGAAUUGCAGAAUUCAGUGAAUCAUCGAAUCUUUGAACGCACCUUGCGCUCCUUGGUAUUCCUUGGAGCAUGCCUGUUUGAGUAUCAUGAAAUCUUCAAAGUAAAUCUUUUGUUAACUCAAUUGGUUUCUACUUUGGUAUUGGAGGUCUUUGCAGCUUCACACCUGCUCCUCUUUGUUCAUUAGCUGGAUCUCAGUGUUAUGCUUGGUUCCACUCGGCGUGAUAAGUUAUCUAUCGCUGAGGACACUGUAAAAGGUGGCCAAGGUAAAUGCAGAUGAACCGCUUCUAAUAGUCCAUUGACUUGGACAAUACUUUUAUGAUCUGAUCUCAAAUCAGGUAGGACUACCCGCUGAACUUAAGC
This 378-nucleotide unclassified non-coding RNA is filed under the name plant metagenome. RNAcentral describes it as "partial contains 5.8S ribosomal RNA, internal transcribed spacer 2, and large subunit ribosomal RNA". The stretch from base 1 to 105 matches the Rfam family "5.8S ribosomal RNA", at positions 50 to 154 of the family's 154-position model. The record is from RNAcentral.